RNAcentral lists this transfer RNA (84 nucleotides) under Methanomassiliicoccales archaeon. RNAcentral describes it as "tRNA-Tyr". It matches the Rfam family "tRNA". Rfam says of the family: Transfer RNA (tRNA) molecules are approximately 80 nucleotides in length. Their secondary structure includes four short double-helical elements and three loops (D, anti-codon, and T loops). RNAcentral also lists the same sequence under 1 other name. The record is from RNAcentral. Lineage: Archaea; Methanobacteriati; Thermoplasmatota; Thermoplasmata; Methanomassiliicoccales.
CCCGACUUAGCUCAGUCUGGCUAGAGCGGCUGACUGUAGGCCGCUGAAAUCAGCAGGCCCCCGGUUCAAAUCCGGGAGUCGGGA